Molecule: small RNA, 29 nt
Filed under: Bombyx mori (domestic silkworm)
Lineage: Eukaryota; Metazoa; Arthropoda; Insecta; Lepidoptera; Bombycidae
Description: ovarian small RNA-16622
Source: RNAcentral
GCCAUGCAUGUCUCAGUGCAAGCCGUAUU